GAUGAACGCUAGCGGCAGGCUUAAUACAUGCAAGUCGAGGGGCAGCAGGACUGUAGCAAUACAGUUGCUGGCGACCGGCAAACGGGUGCGGAACACGUACGCAACUUACCCUGAACUGGGGGAUAGCCCGGGGAAACCCGGAUUAAUACCACGUAAUAUAAUGGAGUGGCAUCACUUUAUUAUUAAAGCUCCGGCGGUUCGGGAUGGGCGUGCGGCUGAUUAGGUAGUGGGUUGAGGUAACGGCUCACCAAGCCUACGAUCAGUAAGGGGUGUGAGAGCACGACCAGUCAGACGGGCACUGGGACACGGGCGCGACUCCUACGGGAGGCAGCAGUAAGGGAUACUGGGGAAGGGAGGCAACUCCGACCCAGCCAUGCCGCGUGGAGGAUGAAGGCCCUCUGGGUUGUAAACUUCUGUUAUAGGGGACGAAACCUGUGUAUUCUUACGCAGUUGACGGUACCCUAGGAAUAAGCACCGGCUAACUCCGUG
This 489-nucleotide ribosomal RNA is filed under the name uncultured bacterium. Its description in RNAcentral is "partial 16S ribosomal RNA". It matches the Rfam family "Bacterial small subunit ribosomal RNA", at positions 28 to 507 of the family's 1533-position model. The record is from RNAcentral.